CAGUAGCCGCGGGAAAACGAAGGGUGCAAGCGUUACUCGGAAUUACUGGGCGUAAAGCGUGCGUAGGUGGUGGUUUAAGUCCGUCGUGAAAGCCCUGGGCUCAACCUGGGAAUUGCAGUGGAUACUGGAUCACUAGAGUGUGGUAGAGGAUAGUGGAAUUUCCGGUGUAGCAGUGAAAUGCGUAGAGAUCGGAAGGAACAUCUGUGGCGAAGGCGACUAUCUGGGCCAACACUGACACUGAGGCACGAAAGCGUGGGGAGCAAACAGGAUUAGAGACCCCGGUAGUCCCUGUCUCUUAUAC
RNAcentral lists this ribosomal RNA (301 nucleotides) under uncultured bacterium. RNAcentral describes it as "partial 16S ribosomal RNA". It matches the Rfam family "Bacterial small subunit ribosomal RNA", at positions 509 to 807 of the family's 1533-position model. The record is from RNAcentral.